RNAcentral lists this long non-coding RNA (227 nucleotides) under Elaeis guineensis (African oil palm). Its description in RNAcentral is "long non-coding RNA (EGUI_LNC034338)". The record is from RNAcentral. Lineage: Eukaryota; Viridiplantae; Streptophyta; Magnoliopsida; Arecales; Arecaceae.
GGGUAACUUCUAAUUUAUCUCAUAUUUUUUUAGCAAAUAUGCAUGUAGAUAUUCUAUUAAACUCAUUUACAUCUAAAGCACAAUAUAAAAUAUUUAUAACUUUAGCAUUUAGUUGAGCUAAUCUUUUAUCAAAAUCAUCUCAAUUCCUUUUAGAUUUGAAAGAAGGCAUACCAUCAAGCAAAAUAGUAGAUGUGUGUGGAUCAUUUACUAUGAUAUUCUAUAUGUCA